RNAcentral lists this long non-coding RNA (13493 nucleotides) under Medicago truncatula (barrel medic). RNAcentral's name for it is "long non-coding RNA (MTRU_LNC005362)". Lineage: Eukaryota; Viridiplantae; Streptophyta; Magnoliopsida; Fabales; Fabaceae. The record is from RNAcentral.
UGUUGAAUUUGAGCAGAAACAAAAUUGAAGGAAGUAUUCCUUCUCUGUUUCGUUCAUCUCUGGCUUCACUUGAUCUUAGUGGAAAUCGUUUGAAUGGAAAGAUACCAGAAAUUCUUGGAUUCUUGGGUCAGUUGUCAAUGUUGAAUCUCUCACAUAAUAUGCUUUCAGGCACCAUUCCUUCAUUUUCUAGUAUGAGUUUGGAUUUUGUUAACAUAUCAAACAAUCAGUUAGAAGGGCCGCUUCCGGACAAUCCAGCUUUUCUUCAUGCUCCGUUUGAAUCAUUCAAAAAUAACAAAGACUUGUGUGGAAAUUUCAAAGGCUUGGAUCCUUGUGGAAGUCGAAAGAGCAAAAAUGUCCUCCGAUCGGUAUUAAUUGCUUUAGGAGCUCUAAUUUUAGUAUUGUUUGGUGUUGGAAUUUCGAUGUAUACUUUGGGUCGAAGAAAAAAAUCAAAUGAAAAAAACCAAACUGAAGAACAAACACAAAGGGGAGUACUAUUUUCCAUUUGGAGUCAUGAUGGGAAAAUGAUGUUUGAAAAUAUCAUUGAAGCUACUGAGAAUUUUGAUGACAAAUAUCUCAUUGGAGUUGGAAGUCAAGGAAAUGUUUACAAGGCAGAGUUAUCUUCAGGUAUGGUUGUUGCUGUGAAGAAGCUACAUAUAAUAACAGAUGAAGAAAUCUCACAUUUCAGUUCGAAGUCUUUUAUGAGUGAGAUUGAAACCUUGUCAGGAAUCAGACACAGGAACAUCAUAAAGCUUCAUGGAUUUUGCUCACAUUCUAAAUUCUCAUUUUUGGUUUACAAGUUCUUGGAAGGAGGAAGCUUAGGUCAAAUGCUAAACAGUGAUACACAAGCCACUGCAUUUGAUUGGGAAAAGAGGGUGAAUGUUGUUAAAGGUGUGGCCAAUGCUUUGUCCUACUUGCAUCAUGAUUGUUCUCCUCCUAUUAUUCAUCGUGAUAUAUCAAGCAAGAAUGUCCUUCUUAAUCUUGACUAUGAAGCUCAAGUCUCCGACUUUGGAACGGCUAAGUUUCUAAAGCCAGGUUUACUUAGUUGGACCCAAUUUGCAGGCACUUUUGGGUAUGCAGCUCCAGGUUAGAUCCAUUUCCCCUCUCAUAUUAAAAUUGAAAUGAUUAUAUCACUUUUCGUAUAGAGUCAUUUCCAUGCACUUAUGGUGAAAACUUGUUUAUACGUGCAUCCAAUCAAAUCACUCCAAGUAAAUGAUAUUUUAUAGAUAAUUUAGGAAUUAACAUUAAAAAGUGGCAUCAUAGUGAGAUUUAACUGGAUGCAAGCGUAAUUUUUUUUACAGUGUUGUAUAAUACAAAUUAAAUCCCUUCAUAUGAUAUUGAAACUCAUAUUGAGUUGAGCAAAAUAUAACUUAUAUAAGUACAUUUGUUUUGUUGCAGAGUUGGCUCAAACAAUGGAGGUGAAUGAGAAAUGUGAUGUAUACAGUUUUGGAGUACUUGCUUUGGAAAUCAUAGUAGGAAAGCAUCCUGGAGAUCUCAUUUCAUUAUUUUUAUCACAAUCUACAAGGCUAAUGGCUAAUAAUAUGUUGUUGAUAGAUGUUUUAGAUCAAAGACCUCAACAUGUUAUGAAACCAGUUGAUGAGGAGGUUAUCUUGAUUGCAAGGUUGGCAUUUGCUUGCUUGAAUCAAAAUCCACGUUCUCGACCAACCAUGGAUCAAGUAUCUAAAAUGCUUGCAAUAGGAAAAUCACCUUUGGUGGGAAUGCAACUUCACAUGAUCAGACUAGGGCAACUUAACUAACUCAAUAUAAUAACUUAUUGUACUACUUGCUCCAUCCCAAAAUGACCCCAAAAUCAAUGAUCCUUUUCAAUAUCUUUCACAUUUGUAACAAAAAAAAAAAAAAUCACUUUGCAUUUAUAAUGAAGGCAUGUAUAUGAUAACAGUACUUUAUUAAUAUUCUUGUUAUUUCUCUUUUAUUUAUACAUUUUUCUCAGAUCGUUUGAAUAGGUCAACUGCGUCAGUUAUUUUGAGACGAAUGGAGUAUAUAACAAUAACAUCCGGUUUUUUUCUUAGGCAGACUAUACUUACCUCACGACCGAACUCAGAAUUAUCAUCGUCCCUUCCUCUAAAAACCGAAGGGUUAACAACAACAAAAACCGUGUAUUUUUCUUGCACAAUACUAUCAAUCAAUUUAUUUGCUCUUUUCAUAGGAAUCAAGGAUGAGUCUCUACAUCUAUCUUAUAUCUGUUCAUUUAGGAUUAAAAUGGCUUUAGGAAGACAAUGAGAUCUCAGACUUUCCUGAAAGCUUAGUAAGGGAGUCCUAAGUCAAAUAGCCUUAUUCAAUUCAAUGAUUUUUGAGUGAAUACCCGAAAGAAUGGACAAUCCACGGGGUCACUCUGUUCUUAAAGACUCAUGUUAUCAUUCACGCUUCCUGACCAGGGAUUCAAUACCUAUAAGGCAGCUACAUAUCUGCUAUUUAUUCAUACUUUAGAUUAGAAAUGAAGGACUCUCUCUAUCCUGAGUUACUUAACCAGACCCGGACCUGAGUAUAUACUAAAUUCUAAAUAAAAUGAGAAAAGUAGGAGACAACAAUGUAAUUGAUGAAAUUUCUCAAUGAGAAAAUUAUAGCAAUGGAGAAAUAUUAAUGAAGAAAUUUAAAUUUACAAAACAUAUCUAAAGAAUGAGCGAAUAAAAUUGAUCACACAGCGAAGAGUUUCUAACCUUCUUGGAGACAAGGUUUGGCGAGUGGUAGUCCACGCAUAGAUUCUGUGGUUUUGCUUAGAGUUAGGGAUAAAGGUAAAGAAGGUGUAGUAUUCCAUGUUUUCAAAUAUAUUAAAUGUUAAAUAAGUUUUUGAUGUUAAGGUUCAACAAUCAUUUAUUCGUGUAAAAGGCUGAAAUUUGUUUGUGAUUCACUGUAUAGUACAUACACAGUUAUGACAUGUUAUAAAUUUGUUUGACUUAAUCUCCAUCUGGUACAACAACAGAGACUGGAGUUAGUAACACUUUACAGUUGUCACUAAUUUGAUUUAGCAACAUUUGAUCGUUAAGUAUCAUUCAUUUCACCGUAACAAAAUAAAUAAGCUGAUGGGAAGUUAUGCUCAGAUGAAAAAAACAACAAUCAUCCUUGCUAACAAAGUGUUUCUACAAGGAUGAAUGGAUGUUUGACCCAAAUACUAAGCCCAAGUUCUAUGAGCCCUUGAGUUUAUUUGCAUGAUUCAUCAUGAAAAUAUUCUGUAUGUUUCUUCUGUCUUAUGAUGCAUCAUUGUUAGUUUUAGGAUUCUACCAAGUUUUUGAAUAACUUUUUAAGAAUGGUUUCUUGAGUGCUAUAUAUGUAACCAUAAAAUAUGGGAAUUAAGCAGAAAACAACAUUCAAAGAAGAUAGUUUGUUAGCAGUUUAGAUAUAGACCAGAUUUAUUCUUACAACAUUUCCUUUACCCUUCACGGUACUGACAAAAUGUGAUACAUUACAAGAACACAUUUACAUUGAUCGUGUAUAAAAUUUGAUAUCAUCUUUUACUAGGAUUUGAGUAUUAAAUGGAGCCAUCAAAAUGUGGCACAUUUUAUGGUUCUGCACAACAUGUAGUUGUCACAGGACUCCCAUUUAUCAAUUAUUACAACACAGAUACUUUAACUAUCACAACUUAUUACACUACAAUACCGAAACAACAACAAUGAAAUCGAUGAAAUAACAAAAGCAUACUAGUAUAAACCAAUAAUAACACUUUAAAUCAUUUCAUCUGCGUCUAACAGUAACGGGACUUCACACAAUGUUUCCCAUUUGUCCAUCACAGUUCUCCAAAUUCGUAUUUUCCCUUCGAAGAGUAAUGGGACUCCUUACAAUGUGUUUUCCAUUUGACCAUUGCAGUUCUCCAAAUUCGUAUUUUCCCUGUGGAGUCACACUUGUUGCUUGCACAGUAACUUUAAAUGUCUUCUUUUCACCUAUUUUCUUGAAUUUCAAGGAACUUGGUACAACAACAAUUUUAUAUCCAGGCAAUUGGGCUUUUGCAGUAUAUGUACUUCGUGGCCCAACAUUGGUAACUGUACGAGUGACAGAAACAGCAUUUAACCCAAGAUUUGGUAAUGUGAUUGAAGGGUAAUUCAAGUCAUUUAUGCUUUGAGUUCCAUAACAAGUGAAUGUCAUGUUGAAAAUAAGUGAUGAGAUGAGUUUUUGAUUGUAUCCAGCAGCACAUAAGAAGUUCAAGUAAUCCUUAAUCCCUAGAUCAUAAACAAGUCCUGGAUCUAUUGCACUGUUGGGUUGAAUAUGUCCUGAACCAUAAGCAAAUGCAUUUGCAGUUGUGUUUUCGAAUGCAUCUUCUAUCGGCUCGUUGGUGUUAUCUCUUGUGGUUGCUGCAAGGUCACAUUUCUUCGUAAGUAAGUAAUCAUCUUAAGUAUUAGACAAAUACGAUUUUUCUAUGACCAAAUCUAGUGAUAUAUCUUAUAAGUAUGUGAUUCCAUUGGGAAAAAAUUCUAGCUAUAUACUGAGUUCUAUAACCAUUUAAAGAUGUUAUUUAUAAAAUUUAUUAAAAUGUUACUUAUCACAUAUAAAAGUCACUUCUAUUUAUAUAGCACAUAUUGAGUUCACGCAAGCGAAAGGAGUGCAUCAUGUAACUCAUUUUUUUAUGUCUCUAAUUUCCUUUGAUGAUUAAUUUGUUAUAUGUACUUAGUUAUGAUUUUAGUUAUAUGUAUGAUUAGGAUUUCACUAAAUUAAUCAUAUAUUAUCUUGAUAAAUAAUCAUACAUGAAUAUUAAAAAUUAUGAACUUCAACUUAAAUCCACCAUCAAUUAUGAAUGUAUAUGUGACUAGCUAGCAUUUGCUCCAUAUAGUUUGUGUGUGUGUGUGUGUGUGUGUUGGGGUUGAGAGAAAAAAUACCAGUGGUCAUGAUAGCUGAUUUAAUAGCUGCAGGACUCCAAUUAGGAUGAAGUGUUUUGAUAAGUCCAGCAGUGCCAACAACAUGAGGACAAGACAUAGAAGUUCCUUGUUGUAUAUUGAAUGGAAAACCUCGACGAUUGUCUGUUACUAAAUUAGACACACUUGCAAGCAAUGAAUAGGCAGCAAGUAUGUUCACACCCGGCGCAGUUACAUCAGGCUGAAACAAAAAACAAAAGCAAUCUCCUUAACAUAUCAACAAAAAUUAAUGAGGAUUAUUAGAUAGUAACUAACAAAUUCAAGUGUAGUAUAAACACCUUGAGUAUAUAUGGUUGAACUUUAUUUGGUCCUCUAGAUGAGAAUGAAGCCAUAACUGGAGCUGGCUUUCUUCCAUUCAAAGCAUUUGCUGGUGACAUUCUUAUUGUAGCAUUCGUCUUUAUAUCUCUGCAAAAUAAAAAUAUAUAGGAUUAUGUAUAAAUGGUACCCUUCAUUUGUAACAUGUAAUUUAAUUAAUAAUAGGCUGAACUGCACUUUUCGCCCCCUAAGUUUCAAAAGCUUGUUACAAGAAAGAUAUGUAUAAGGAAUUAUUACUCAGGAGUUAUCUCUGAACCCUUUGGCGUUGUGAUUGAACGUGCAUCAUAAUAGUUGAUAGUAGACACAACAUGAGGCUCAGCAAGAAGUGUUUUUCCAUCAACUUCUGGUUGAUUUCUCAUAAUCACUCCCACUGCGCCUGCAGAUAAAGCUUCCUGACCUUCAGCAAUUGAAUUUAUUUUCCCUUCUCGAUCACACGCCACUACUUUACCAUUCACUUUUGAAGGAUCAAGCGUUCCUGGUCUACAAAAUUGACUGCAAAAAUAUGCAUAUGAAAAAAUUGACAAUCUUAGCAUCCUUUAUUUUUCACAAAUUUAAUCUCCAUGCAAAUUAUUUCUCACAACUAUCAACUCUGUUAUUGCAGUUUUGAUCUCUCAAAAUCGUGAGUGUUUGAAGUUUUAGUCUUCAAUUUCCCCAAAUUGGACGGUUUUAUUUUUGCAAUCAAAUAGUUUUUAAAGUCGACGAUUUGGAGAGAUCAAAACUACAUUAUGAAAGUGUGGGGACCAAAUUUGCAAUAAAAGGAACACCAAAAAUCAUAAAUUUUAAAAAAUAGUCAAUCAAAUAUACAAUUAACUUUUUCAUCAAUAUACAAGAAAAAAAAGUUUUGGAAUUCACACUUACGCAUCUACAUCUGUCACAUUGGCAAAUUUAGCAUCAGUAGAAAUUAUUAUAAGAAAGUCUUGGUUAGGUGGCAAGUUUACAAAAAGACUGGCUCCCUAGUAAGACAAGAAAAACAUAACACAAUUAAUUUCAAUGCUACAAUAAGUAUAAAUUAAUAACAAUAACAAUAAUAUGUAACGAAUAUAAACAAUAAGAAGAAUAUGAUAAAAAAAAACUAUAAGUUAAGGAUGAUACCGUGAGUGUUUUGUUAUUAAUAGUCAUGACACUGCUGAAGUCUCUGUCUAAUGUACUAGCAGCAACAGUGAACACCCAUGGAGCAACAUUAGUAACACUUCCAGGGGUAGGUCCUUCAUUUCCAGCCGAUGCAACUAAUAAUAUAUUUCUAGCAAGUGCAUGAAAUGCACCUAUUGAAAUCUCAUCAGUAAAAAUAACUUCAGGAUUUGUAUUAGGUUUGCCUCCAGCCGAAACAGAAAUCAAAUCAGCACCGUCGUAAAUUGCUUGAUCAAUAGCAGCUAAUACAUCGGCACCAAAGCAGUCUACAACAUCUGUUAGAGACCAACAUGCUUUGUAGGUUGCAACUCUUGAUCUUGGUGAACCACCUUUUAUGGUACCGUUGCCAAUACCAAAUAUGGUUGCGUUUUGUACGAAGUUUCCACCUGCUGUUGAUAGUGUGUGUGUCCCAUGGCCUACAAAGUCUCGCGCUGUUUGUUGUGAACUAGGGAGUUUACCGUGAAAGGCCUCGUAAGCUUUGUUGAAAAAUCUUGCUCCGAUUAGCUUUCUAGGUAGUCCAUUCAAAUAGACAAAAUGACUGUUAGAAUUUAUGUCAUCAAUGUUUUAAAACCGGACUAGACCGGUUUGUUUAUUUGAUUAAACCAGAAAUCGGUUACUCAUACUCUAUUAAUUGACAGAUUGGUUCAACCAUGGUUCACCUGUUGUUAGUUAAACUGGUUAUUUUAUUUUAUUUUUUUGCAUUCUUAAAACAAUUUUUAACACUUAUUUAUUAGUCAUCUGACUACUUGAUGAUAAUUUCAGACGGCCCCAAACCGCCAAAAUCAUUAUAGUAAUCUGAUUCCUUCGUGAUAAUUUCUGGCGGCCCCAAACUGCCUGAGUCAUUUGAUUCUUCACGUUUUGAGACUCCGACCGUCGGUUUUUCCAAAAGUUUUCAAUAUUAACUUCAAGUAGAAUUAUGAUUUUCAAUAUUACUUAAAUUAAAUUGUGCAAUAUACAAAAUAAAUUGACAGUGAAGCAAGUUGAAAGAGAACCUGUUACAUGGAACUUUCUUAGAAGUAUUGAGUUUGUCAAGUUGACAAAUGUUACCCCCACGCCAUCUUAAUGGAAUUGGACCUAUUCCUCUGUCGUUAAAACUCUCCGAUUCCGGCCAAACACCUAAUACAAACAAAACAAACAAUAGGAUAAUUAUCUUUUGAGUAAUUUAGUCAUCUAUUCUAGGUGUUUAUUUUAAGGGAUUAGUCAUCUAUAAUUAAUUAAAAAAGAAAUAGACCUUUAACAUGAAGAUUAUAAUAUUGAAUUUGAAUCUGUAAAUUUUAUCUUCACUUUCUCAUAAAAUAGUUGAAAUUCUUGUGACUUGUGAGCUACUUGACUUAAUUAUUACAUCGUGUAAUCCUCCCUUUUUUCAAUUUCUAAAUAAGGAACAAAACACGAGAUAUUGUGGCAAAUUAAAUAUUUUUUUUUUCUUCAUAUUAAUUAAGAACUCAAGGUGUCAAAAAAGAAAAGAAAAGAAAAGGGAACUCAAGAAAACAUGUUACCAAUUCAAAGAAAGUAUGUAGUUUUUGUCUCCAUGUAGCUCAUUAUAUCUAAGAAAAAAGGCUGAUCAUCCGGUUGUUCUAUAACAAACAUUAUGUAAAUUUUUUCUUUCCAUAUUAUAUCAUAGUUUUUUGUCCAAGAGGUGUCUUAAAGCUUAACUCUAUAACCACAAUUGUUAAUAAAAUUUCCUCUUCACCAAUUUUUUAAAAGAAGAAAAACAUUAUGUCAAUUUUGGUAGUCUAUAUCAAGUCACUAAGAUUAUACUAUCUGCAAAGACUUCUAUGCACAAGAUAACAAGACCAUAAAUAUUAAUAUUCACAAACAAAAAAAAAACCAUGAAUAUUGAAUAAUCAUACACAAGACCAUAAAUAUCAUAUUGUUAUUUAUUUUUCUAGUGAUAGGGAUUGACUCAUUUUUUUAGGGGACCAGUAUUAAAGUUAUUUAUAUUUUACUUAUGUUUCAUGAUUGUAACAUAACAACUCCAAUCAAGUACAAAAUAAUGUAGCACUAGGAUCUAGUUCAAGUGGUUGAUGCGUGCGUGUAUGUGUUGUAAAUCUGGAAUACCAAGCCUGGUUGUGCUAUUAAUAAAAAGGGCUUUUAUACAUGAACCAUCUUAGGUGGCAUACACCCUUUUACACCCACACACAUUUGUGACACAUGGCAAAAACAUUGAAAGAAGAGAUGAAAAUGGGUGAUGAUAUGAUGUAAAAUUACUAAAAUAAGCCUAACAUAUGGGGUGUGUAUAAGAGGUGUAUGAAAAAGAGUGUCUACCUAUCUUUUUCCUAAUAAAAAUAUCCAAACUAAGUUGCAAAUGUUUUUUCUAUAAGAAAAGAUAUUAAAAUAAAUGGGAACACUUAUUCACAAGUAUGCGUUAAACAAAAGUACACAGUUUGAAUAAAAGACAAAGUGGCAGAUAUGAAAAACACUACACAAAAAGGCACCAAAAAUUGACCAGCAAGUGCAGGACAAAACAUAGCAGUUAAUGAAAAUGAAUGAAUAUUAUUCUAUUUUAUAAGCAGAAACAAGUUGUAUUUAUCAGAAAUAAAGAAAGACUAUAAACCCCGAGUAAAAAAAGACAACACUGCAUAAGACAUAAAUCCAAAAGUAUAUAAAAACAAAUAUAUGCAAGGUACACAAGAUGCCGUUAUAAUUGACAUAAGAAGAGAACUAGGACAAAAAGUACACAGCUAUACCAUGCACCCAUGUAAACAACUAAUGAUGUGUCAUGUUGACUAUGUAAAAAAUUAUGUUUAUUUUGUCUAACAGAGAAUGUUGUUCUAAAUGUUGGAAAUUCAGCUUUUAUUGCAGUCUGUCGCCUAAUUACUACCAUUUGAGUUGCUUUGUGUUGGCUUUGAGGGGUGGAUUUAGUCCUACAUCAGAUAGAUAAGACUCUCGAUAAGAGUUUACAAAGAGGAGGCACUCCUCACCUUAUAAGCCGAUUUUGUGAUUUUGUAAGGAUGAAUUAUGCCCCAAAUUUCAAGACGAAUAUUAUUUUUUUUUAGGAAAACACUGAAUAUUGUUAUUAUAACUAAAUAAACGAUUUUUAUUGGAUUAUAGAACAUAGAAUGUGGUAAAAUUAUAAAGGUGUGUACCUGUAUCAAUGUUAGCUAUAAUGGUAUUUUCACCAAACCUUCCCUUUUGCCAAGCUGUGUUGACAUCAUUUGUACUUAGUCCAAGGAAUUCCCAAGAACGUGUUGUGUGCAGUUUAUGAGAUUUGCUUAAGAACACAGAUACCACCUUUGGAUUUUCUGCAUAUGUUGGAAUAUUGUGUAUCUAAUUUAAAACCAAACAUAAAAUGAUAUGUAUGAUUUAAUGUAAAACACUUGGCCAGUUGGGAUAAACAAUUUAAAUAAGCAUUUAUAGCAUGAGUGGUUGUGAUGUAAGUUCUUAUGUAUAAGCUUAUUAUUAUAACAAAAGAUAAAAUAAAGUAAAAUUAUUUUCAAAUAGUUGUUUCCAUAACUUAUCUUAGAAAGGUUAUGGAAAUAAGCUAAAAGUGGGUUAUAAAUAUGUCAUAAGUUAUUUUCAUAAGCUCUCUCAAAUAUUUUCUUAAGUGUUUAUGUCAUUUAAAAACAUCAAAUAUGCUAAUUAAUUAAGACAGUGGAAGCAUGCUUAUUAUGUUUCUGACUUGCAAGUUGUGCAGCUUCUUCCUCUUCAAGUAUAGCUGCAAAGCCAUUAAUCUGUUUAUUAUAUGAAUAAAUUAUUGCCUCUUCUGCCUCCUCGUGGCUGUGAAUGAUCAAUAUAUAUAUAUAUUAGUUAAUCGAUCAAUUUCCUCUAUAGAAAAGCUUAAGCUGAAUAUUUUAAUUAAUAGUUUUUUAUCAUUAGUAUAUAUAUAUACCUUCCCAAGAUUGAACCCAGUAAAUCAUAAUGAGAAUAUGUAGCAGUUUCAAGGUCAACAGAGGAAGGAGUUGGACCAUGUACAUGUGCUCCCAAGUAUACAAUGUAGCACUGUAAAAAUAAAUAGGAAACCAAAAACCAAAAGCUUAUGAAAUUAAUGAAAUCAUAAUCUUAAUUAUAAAGUAUAUAUGCAAUUAAGAAGCAAACUAGCUUACCUUUUUGCUUGCGUGAACAUGAUUCAGCAUCAAGAUGAAAAUAAGAAGUGAUGAGAAAAGAAGAUGAUGAAGAGAUAAAAUGGAGCGACCCAUUUUUCAGUCUAUGGAAAGUGUUGAGCUUAGCUUAGGGGAUAUAUGCUAAUUCAUCUCCUUAUGUAAUGAAAGGAACAAAUAUUUAUAUGGGUUAAAAGACAGCUCAAUAGUGUUUUGUUUUUUUUUGGACAGUUCAAGAGUAUUUUUAUUCUAAGCUUUUGGUAAGCUGAAUAAGAUAUUAUAUCAUAAAUUAAUAAAAGAAAGAUCAUAUCAUAUCAUAAUUCAAAUAAAGAUUUUGACAAACUUAGAUUUGUCAUCUUGGCUCCUUAAGAUGAAAAAAUUUGUUUUUAAAUUUGCUUAAAAUUUGGUGAUGAAAGUUCUUCAAAAAUUACGGCACGGUUAGUUGUAAACAUAGCGCAGUUUGGGUGCUUGAAGAUUGGUUUUGCUCGUCCAAAAUCACGGCGCGCGCGAUUUCAUGCAAUCGUGUCGUGAUUGUGGAUAAGGUUGGCAAUAAUGUUGUGUACGAGUUGAAGAUCGCGACGCGAUCCAAGAAAAUUGCGGUGUGAUAUUGUCUGCGUAUGGGCACUACAAAAGCCUCCAUUAAUCAAUUUUUGGUGAGCCUUUAAGAGAGAGAAUUUUUACAAACCAGUGGAUGCAACUUAAAGGCUAAGGGUUAAGUGUCUUUUGUGAGAUUCUUGGGUUGGGAAACACUUCACAAAUACCUUGGGUAGUGAGAUUUAAUUAAUAGAAAGAUCCAAAAGCUUUAUCUCUUGUUUUCUAGUUAUGAUUCAUUGUGAGUUUGAGUGACUUGGAAAAUGGACAAAAAUUAAGAUUUGUUCUUUCAUGGUUCGCGGGAUCUAAAUUCUUAUAACCUCUUUGUAUAACUCAUCAUCAUAGUAGAUUAUUGGAGAGUUGCUCUCUCCCCCAGUCAGCCGUAGAACAUAUUAAUCCGAACUGGAGUAAAUAAAUAUUGGUGUGUUGGUUUUCUCUACUCUCUUAUCUUUGUUGUUUUGGUUAUUCUUGUGGUUUUACUUUACACUUAAAUUUAGGUCUAUUAUGUUUUGUUAUUUUUUUAAGCUACUUUAAUUUAGUUACGAUUUCCUUUUGCCACGGAGCUAAAUUUAUUGGUGUGAUUUACAGUUCAAAUGCACAACAAUUUGGUUAGUAAAGACUAUUCAUCUUGUGUACUACAAGUUUUCCUUUGAAGUACCACCAUUAACAACAAUUAAUGGAUGUUUAGUACCUUUCACAAAAUAAUGCCAAAAAAUUGUGUGUUACAAGAGUUAGAGCCACAUUAGUACUCAAGACAUGCGUUUUAUUAGAAGCUACAACUUCUAUCUUUUAGAAACCACGGUGAAAAUAAUCUUGGAACUCGAGAAUUGCAAGUUAAAUGUAGUUCGAAAGAUACACUUAUUCAAAAUUUAGGAAAAAAUUAUGUAAAACCUCCACAUCAAACAAUGAAGGGAAUACAAAGAGUCAAAGGACAAAACAGAAUUGGACUCCUUGCCACAUAUUCUUAAUCUGAGGUAAAGUGGAAAUUUUCAAAUCAAUACCAACGUAAAUUAGUGGAAAAUUUCAAAUCAAUACCAACACCCUUUCAUACCAGCAGCAGUUUUUAUUGGUGGUGUCCGGAAUUCGAACCCAAACCUUGCAUAUAUUAUACAAUAUCUCUAUCAACUGAACUAAACUCACAGAAUACGAGCAGCAUGCCAGCAGCAGUUGAUUACAUACAUUACAUUCUUAAAGAUAGUAGCAAAUAAAAUAUUAUUAAUUUUUUCCACUUGCUCUCCCCUUCCAAAGUAGUUAUAUAUGAAGAAAAAAUUAACUUUCAAAGUCCUCCCCUUUUAAUGUCUUCUAUUUUUUUUCACUUGUUCCUUCUUUUUUUUUUCGAAACCCUCUCCUCCCUUCUCUUAAAAACUCGCAAACAAAGCCUAAAAGUGUGUAUUACUGUGCAUAUUCGUAUCUUUUAGAAAACCUUGUGUAUGAAGGCAAGUGGUAUAGUACCUACGGUGACCCUAAUAAUUGUCGUAUCUGAAAAUGAGUGCUCUAUUUCUUGAAAUGGUACUAUGAUGGCUUUGUUAUUUAUGAACUAUAAGAAAAUGUAUACCCAAAAUCAUGCAUUGUGAGUGGUUUUGACAAUAAAAAAAAGAGAGAAAAUGGUUUAAAGACAACUUUUACUAUUAAAAAGAGAAUAAGAAAAAUGAUAGAAGAGAUACAAAAUAUUGAUUAUUUUACAUUGAUUAUAAACUUGCGUAUAUGAUAGUUGAAGUUGAAAAAUGAAAUUAAAAUUUUAUUUUAUCCUUGUAAGUUAUAGUUGGCUUGUUUUUUUAUCUCUGGUGAGGCCUACGUUACCCCUUCAUGAAUUGGGGGUAAUUGAUCCCUAAUGACAAGUCUAAUUUGAUUACAGAAUGAAGAAGAUGAACAUUAGAUGUUUAGAAUGAAGAAGAUGAAAAUUAGAUGUUGAAUGAAAGAAAUGAAGAAGAUUGAUGUUUUUAAGAUGAAAAUGGUAAUUGGUUGUAUGAAAAAACCAAAAUGAUGAAGUCUACAUUAUCACUUGAUGAAUUGGGGGUAAUUUACCUAUAAUAACAAGUAGGAUUCGAUUAUGAAACGAAAGAGAUGGAGAUCACAUUUUGAAUGAAACAGAUGGAGAUCACAUUUUGAAUGAAACAGAUGUAAUUCCUUCUCAGUUUCGUUCAUCUCUUGCUUCACUUGAUCUUAGUGGAAAUCGUUUGAAUGGAAAGAUACCAAAAAUUCUUGGAUUCUUGAGUCAGUUGUCAAUGUUGAAUCUCUCACAUAAUAUGCUUUCAGGCACCAUUCCUUCAUUUUCUAGGAUGAGUUUGGAUUUUGUUAACAUAUCAGACAAUCAGUUAGAAGGGCGGCUUCCGGACAAUCCAGCUUUUCUUCAUGCUCCGUUUGAAUCAUUCAAAAAUAACAAAGACUUGUGUGGAAAUUUCAAAGGCUUGGAUCCUUGUGGAAGUCGAAAGAGCAAAAAUGUCCUCCGAUCGGUAUUAAUUGCUUUUGGAGCUCUAAUUUUAGUAUUGUUUGGUGUUGGAAUUUCGAUGUAUACUUUGUGUCGAAGAAAAAAAUCAAAUGAAAAGACCAAACUGAAACAAAC